CCACCGUCUGGGACACCAGCUGGUCCAGGCACAGCCUUACCACAAUCCAGAGAAGGCCACCUCUAAUGGGGCCUGCAGGCAUUGUGUCCACGGGAGGAAAGGGCUGGGGGGCCCCUCUCCCCACUGCUGGGGCAGCUCCCUUGCCCUUCCCCAGCCUCAGGCACUCUCAUCAUCUCCUUUGGCCUCUUCUGGGGGCUCUUGGGGUUCAUCUCCAGGGUGGAAAACUUGGAGGGCCCCUCCUGGCAGAGUCAAGGAUGGGGUCAGGGAGACCCCAUCCCCUCAACCCUCAACCUUUGUUUCACCCACAGCCCCUCUGAAUCCUGGGAGCUGGCUCUUUCCACUUCCAGAGGGGGCCCUCAGGCCCACCCUGGCUGUCCCAGCGUGGCCCCCGCGGCUUCUGCGCUGCACCCUUCCCGUCCCUCCCUGCUCCUCAUGGUCACUAGUGCCUGCUUAUCCACUGGGUCAUCCCCUCGGCCAGGGCCCCUCCUGCCCUGGAAGCCCAGCAAGCGCCCACUCGUAGCUCCUCAGCGGGUCCUCGCCGGCCUGUGCCGGGUGCAGGGGCCAGUGGGAGGACAGCAGGAGCCCGGCAGGCCAUCAGCACAAGAGCAAAUGCACAUGGCAACGUUGGUCUGCUCAGCCACUGGUUCUGAGGUGGAACGGUGGAUGUCUGCACUGUGACAUCAGCUGAGUAUGAGAACUGCCGGUUGCGGCUUAUAAACAAGAUGAUGCCCUUGCGGUAGGCCAUGUGGGCGGUGAAGUUCAAGGCCAGCUGGAGGUGCACGGCUGUCUGUUCCAGGUCGAUGAUGUCGUGGUCCAGGCGGCUCCCAAAGAUGUACGGCUCCAUAAACCUGCCAGAGACCCCCCCAAGGCAAGGGGGAAGAGAGUUCACGGGGCCAUCUCCACUGGCCCCUUGCAGGAACACAGACGCCCACCAGGGACUCCCGGGCUCCUCUGUGGGGGCACUAUGGGCUGGGGAAGCACAAUUUGCAACACUCCCCGUGUGGAUGAACAGCAGUGCAGACCCAUCCAGGCCACCCCUCUGCACGCCUCGUCUCGUGGCUUAACCCCUCCAACCCUCUACGUCUUCCUGAAGGAAUCCUAAUGGAACUGACCCCAUA
Molecule: non-coding RNA, 1118 nt
Filed under: Pongo abelii (Sumatran orangutan)
Lineage: Eukaryota; Metazoa; Chordata; Mammalia; Primates; Hominidae
Source: RNAcentral